Molecule: ribosomal RNA, 429 nt
Filed under: Actinomycetes bacterium
Lineage: Bacteria; Bacillati; Actinomycetota; Actinomycetes
Description: Actinobacteria bacterium partial 16S ribosomal RNA
Rfam family: Bacterial small subunit ribosomal RNA
Source: RNAcentral
UAGGGAAUCUUCCGCAAUGGGCGAAAGCCUGACGGAGCAACGCCGCGUGAGUGAUGAAGGUCUUCGGAUCGUAAAACUCUGUUAUUAGGGAAGAACAAAUGUGUAAGUAACUAUGCACGUCUUGACGGUACCUAAUCAGAAAGCCACGGCUAACUACGUGCCAGCAGCCGCGGUAAUACGUAGGUGGCAAGCGUUAUCCGGAAUUAUUGGGAGUAAAGCGCGCGUAGGCGGUUUUUUAAGUCUGAUGUGAAAGCCCACGGCUCAACCGUGGAGGGUCAUUGGAAACUGGAAAACUUGAAUGCAGAAGAAGAAAGUGGAAUUCCAUGUGUAGCGGUGAAAUGCGCAGAGAUAUGGAGGAACCCCAGUGGCGAAGGCGACUUUCUGGUCUGUAAAUGACGCUGAUGUGCGAAAGCGUGGGGAUCAAAGAGG